This 740-nucleotide ribosomal RNA is filed under the name Arthrobacter sp. PF4M10. Its description in RNAcentral is "bacterial SSU rRNA". It matches the Rfam family "Bacterial small subunit ribosomal RNA", at positions 97 to 847 of the family's 1533-position model. The record is from RNAcentral. Lineage: Bacteria; Bacillati; Actinomycetota; Actinomycetes; Micrococcales; Micrococcaceae.
GGCGAACGGGUGAGUAACACGUGAGUAACCUGCCCUUAACUCUGGGAUAAGCCUGGGAAACUGGGUCUAAUACCGGAUAUGACUCCUCAUCGCAUGGUGGGGGGUGGAAAGCUUUUUGUGGUUUUGGAUGGACUCGCGGCCUAUCAGCUUGUUGGUGAGGUAAUGGCUCACCAAGGCGACGACGGGUAGCCGGCCUGAGAGGGUGACCGGCCACACUGGGACUGAGACACGGCCCAGACUCCUACGGGAGGCAGCAGUGGGGAAUAUUGCACAAUGGGCGCAAGCCUGAUGCAGCGACGCCCCGUGAGGGAUGACGGCCUUCGGGUUGUAAACCUCUUUCAGUAGGGAAGAAGCGAAAGUGACGGUACCUGCAGAAGAAGCGCCGGCUAACUACGUGCCAGCAGCCGCGGUAAUACGUAGGGCGCAAGCGUUAUCCGGAAUUAUUGGGCGUAAAGAGCUCGUAGGCGGUUUGUCGCGUCUGCCGUGAAAGUCCGGGGCUCAACUCCGGAUCUGCGGUGGGUACGGGCAGACUAGAGUGAUGUAGGGGAGACUGGAAUUCCUGGUGUAGCGGUGAAAUGCGCAGAUAUCAGGAGGAACACCGAUGGCGAAAGCAGGUCUCUGGGCAUUAACUGACGCUGAAGAGCGAAAGCAUGGGGAGCGAACAGGAUUAGAUACCCUGGUAGUCCAUGCCGUAAACGUUGGGCACUAGGUGUGGGGGGACAUUCCACGUUUUCCGCGCC